RNAcentral lists this ribosomal RNA (301 nucleotides) under uncultured bacterium. RNAcentral's name for it is "partial 16S ribosomal RNA". It matches the Rfam family "Bacterial small subunit ribosomal RNA", at positions 509 to 809 of the family's 1533-position model. The record is from RNAcentral.
CAGUCGCCACGGUAAUACAGAGGGUGCAAGCGUUAAUCGGAAUUACUGGGCGUAAAGCGCGCGUAGGUGGUUCGCCAAGUUGGAUGUGAAAUCCCCGGGCUCAACCUGGGAACUGCAUCCAAAACUGGCGAGCUAGAGUAUGGUAGAGGGUGGUGGAAUUUCCUGUGUAGCGGUGAAAUGCGUAGAUAUAGGAAGGAACAUCAGUGGCGAAGGCGACCACCUGGACUGAUACUGACACUGAGGUGCGAAAGCGUGGGAAGCAAACAGGAUUAGAUACCCCAGUAGUCCCUGUCUCUUAUAA